CAGCAGUGAUGAAUAAUUAUUUUUGUGCCGGAGACGCUAGCCGUCGGUGAUGGCGCUAAUACCUCUAAGAAGUUCUGAGCUU
RNAcentral lists this small nucleolar RNA (82 nucleotides) under Erythranthe guttata (spotted monkey flower). RNAcentral's name for it is "Mimulus guttatus (spotted monkey flower) Small nucleolar RNA U61". It matches the Rfam family "Small nucleolar RNA U61". The record is from Rfam by way of RNAcentral. Lineage: Eukaryota; Viridiplantae; Streptophyta; Magnoliopsida; Lamiales; Phrymaceae.